RNAcentral lists this ribosomal RNA (460 nucleotides) under uncultured bacterium. RNAcentral's name for it is "partial 16S ribosomal RNA". It matches the Rfam family "Bacterial small subunit ribosomal RNA", at positions 338 to 795 of the family's 1533-position model. The record is from RNAcentral.
CCUACGGGUGGCAGCAGUGAGGAAUAUUGGUCAAUGGGCGUAAGCCUGAACCAGCCAAGUCGCGUGAGGGAUGAAGGUUCUAUGGAUCGUAAACCUCUUUUAUAAGGGAAUAAAGUGUGGGACUUGUCCUGUUUUGUAUGUCCCUUAUGAAUAAGGCUCGGCUAACUCCGUGCCAGCAGCCGCGGUAAUCCGGAGGAUCCGAGCGUUAUCCGGAUUUAUUGGGUUUAAAGGGUGCGUAGGCGGCCUUUUAAGUCAGCGGUGAAAGUCUGUGGCGCAACCAUAGAAUUGCCGUUGAAACUGGGAGGCUUGAGUAUGUUUGAGGCAGGCGGAAUGCGGGGUGUAGCGGUGAAAUGCUUAGAUAUCACGCAGAACCCCGAUUGCGAAGGCAGCCUGCCAAGCCAUGACUGACGCUGAUGCACGAAAGCGUGGGGAUCAAACAGGAUUAGAUACCCGAGUAGUC